This 467-nucleotide ribosomal RNA is filed under the name uncultured bacterium. RNAcentral's name for it is "partial 16S ribosomal RNA". It matches the Rfam family "Bacterial small subunit ribosomal RNA", at positions 28 to 507 of the family's 1533-position model. The record is from RNAcentral.
GGUGAACGCUGACAGAAUGCUUAACACAUGCAAGUCAACUUGAAUUUGGGUUUUUUAACUUAGAUUUGGGUGGCGGACGGGUGAGUAACGCGUAAAGAACUUGCCUCACAGCUAGGGACAACAUUUGGAAACGAAUGCUAAUACCUGAUAUUAUGAUUAUAAGGCAUCUUAGAAUUAUGAAAGCUAUAUGCGCUGUGAGAGAGCUUUGCGUCCCAUUAGCUAGUUGGAGAGGUAACGGCUCACCAAGGCGAUGAUGGGUAGCCGGCCUGAGAGGGUGAACGGCCACAAGGGGACUGAGACACGGCCCUUACUCCUACGGGAGGCAGCAGUGGGGAAUAUUGGACAAUGGACCAAGAGUCUGAUCCAGCAAUUCUGUGUGCACGAUGACGUUUUUCGGAAUGUAAAGUGCUUUCAGUUGGGAAGAAAAAAUGACGGUACCAACAGAAGAAGUGACGGCUAAAUACGUG